UAGAAGUCUGUGCUUGUGCUUGCAAGGGACAAAAGUUAUCCAAAGAAAUUAAAGAAUAAAAUAAGUUAGAUUAAAAUAGUAGUUUUGUCAUACUGCAGUUUUUCUUUUAGCUGCAGCUACGCUCAUCUGGGUUUGUGUUUUUCGCAGUGUUGGUUACAUUCUCUCUCUCUCUCUCUCUCUCUCUCUCUCUCCGUUCUCUUCGCACUUCAACAUUUCGUUCAUGUACCUUCGAUUGGGAUGCUUUGAAUUGUUGCUAGGGUAAGAGAUCUUGAAUUCUUGAUGACAAGGUUUAUUUACUUGCUCUGGUUUUACAGUUAGUAAAUGUAUUUAAGACUUUGGUCAGUCUUGUGUGCCAAGAAAUUAGGUUUUCUUUCUCAGUGUGAUUUCUUGGCGGUGUCCCUUCAGAUAUGAUAAUAGGGAGUCAAUUGCGGAUAGCGGUUGACCCCAAAAACACUAUAGCAGGAUACUGGAUAUUGGGAUGACCCUGCAACUAAGGGAAAAAAUGUGAGUAAUUUAUAUCCUAAACAUAUAAAUACACAAAAAUAAACUUCAAAUAUACCAGAUUAUAUGUUAUACCCUACACAUAUAAAUAUAAAAAUACACCAAAAUACAUUUAAAUAUAAGUAAUUCAUACUCUAAGUUUUGAUCACAAAAAGAAACUCACAGAAGGAAGGGAAGGGAUAAACAAAAGGAAAGGAAGGGAAGUGGGAGGCAAAAUGAAAACAAAAAAGAUAGUAAGUAAUGUACAUUAAAAUCGGAAAGUGUUGAACGUGUAAAGAGGGAAAACAAAAAGAAAUUCAUAGAAGGAGGGGAAGGGGGAGAAUGGAAGGGGCAAAAGGGACUAGGGAGGAGAAGAAGGGAAGGAAGUGAAAUAUGUGUUUUCACGUGACUUUUUAAAGGAAGGAAAGGGAGGAGUGUUUUUUUAAAAAUAACCCUAAAAACCAAUGACAUGUAAUAAAAAAAUAAGGGGGAAAAUGACAUUUCCCAAUAAAAUUAGGGUUCUUCAUGCUGCAGUGGGUUUUGCCCAUGUCUCUGAUGCAACUCAACCCGAUAUGGGCGUGAUGGCCACCCGCACUGAUAUUCACCAUUCCGUCGCGGGGAAGGAUGGCAAUGUCCGCAACCUUUGCUAUUGCGUGCAAUUGACUACCUACAUAUGAUAUGUUGGGUAUAUGCUUAACUGUCCCACUUUCUUAAUCCUGGUGAACUUAUUUUAUGUAUGGGAGUUUUGAAUAGUGUCGAAGAGAGUAACUUAUUGUGGAAUUGAAAGGCAGAUAAUGCAAUGAAGAAGAACAUGUCCAUUCAUUGUUUGGUUGUUUAACUUGUUUUGCAAGGAUGGGAAGGGGAAUUCAUGCCAUUCCAUCUUUUCCUUGGGUGGCAAAAGAAGGGACUUGGGCUUCCCUUCCCAUUUCGCCCCUUCUUUACAAAAUCACUCCUAAUGACUAUUUUUGCAGUAUCUUAGUGUUCCAUAUCACAAGAGCAUAUUAUUUGAAUAGUUUAAGCAGAAUGGUAAUUCAAUUAACCAUCUAUUUAUGUGUUUUCUUGUUUUCCGUGGAUGAAAUUGUGGUUGUUCAAUUCUCUCUCUCAAACACAAUAAGACUUGCAUGUAAGAUAUAUGAUUCUCCAAGCAUGUUUCACAAGUUCUUUUAAUUGAUAAUCCUGUGCCAUUGACAUAAAGUGCAGUCCAUAUUAGAUCUUUGUUAUUUCUGCCAAUUGCAAGCUCAGUAGAUACUCACUUUCAUUUGCAUAUGGGGUAGCUCUGAUGACCCAAAACCUGUCUGUGGCAUCUGGCAGUAGGAAUUUCAAAAGGGAUACUAACCAUGCAAUCCCUAAAUUGUAUCCCAAUUAUGUAUUUCCGUUUCAAUUUCUACCGAGUAUUUUCCAGAUUCUAGUUUAUAAUUGCUUUUGAUUGCUGUCUGCAUACUAUCAGAUAUGGUAUGCAACAAGUUUGUUUCUGCCCUUGAUUAAUUUGAAAUUGUAAAGAAUAAUGCUAUAUUUCUGGUUGUGGAUUCAUGUCAUGCAGUAUAUUUGAUAAAUUAACAUUUCUCAAAUUAUAAAAAAUAAACAACAUUUCUCAUCCUGUUGAAUACUCACCAGGAUUCUAGGUUAUUGUUAAUCAUUAAUGCAGAUUCCGGAGUGUACAGAAGUCGUCAGGGGCCAACUGAGCACUUGAGAUAGUAUAAGCUAAGUGCUAGGGUAUGGAACAGUGGGGUGUUCGUGAUCGAGUCAUGUAUAUUAAUCAGGAUGAGGAACACGGAAGUCAACUUCCUUAUGAUAUUCUGAACGAAGAGGAAUCUAGUGAUGAAGAAGAAAAAACCAUUAAAACUGAAGCAGACUUUUUGCCAGAAACUAGGAAAAGGAAGUGUCGUAGCCUUAGUCAGCUUAGAGAGGUGAAAGAGGAAUCAUGUGAGAAGCGAAGUGUUAGG
Molecule: long non-coding RNA, 2423 nt
Filed under: Lupinus mutabilis
Lineage: Eukaryota; Viridiplantae; Streptophyta; Magnoliopsida; Fabales; Fabaceae
Description: partial ncRNA
Source: RNAcentral